AUCUAUUCUGGAAUAAGGCUGUAACAUAACAAAAUGUGGAAAAAGUGAAGUGCUGUGAAUAAUUUAUGGAUACACUGUAUAUAGCUUUGGAAGAAAGCAG
This is a long non-coding RNA of Thalassophryne amazonica, 100 nucleotides long. RefSeq lists it as uncharacterized. The record is from RefSeq and is a predicted model, not a curated record. The transcript is spliced from 3 exons. Lineage: Eukaryota; Metazoa; Chordata; Actinopteri; Batrachoidiformes; Batrachoididae.